GCGGAUGUGGCGGAACUGGUAGACGCACUGGAUUUAGGUUCCAGCGGGGCGACCCAUGGGGGUUCAAGUCCCUCCAUCCGCACCA
RNAcentral lists this transfer RNA (85 nucleotides) under Parvularculaceae bacterium. RNAcentral's name for it is "tRNA-Leu". It matches the Rfam family "tRNA". Rfam says of the family: Transfer RNA (tRNA) molecules are approximately 80 nucleotides in length. Their secondary structure includes four short double-helical elements and three loops (D, anti-codon, and T loops). Further hydrogen bonds mediate the characteristic L-shaped molecular structure. tRNAs have two regions of fundamental functional importance: the anti-codon, which is responsible for specific mRNA codon recognition, and the 3' end, to which the tRNAs corresponding amino acid is attached (by aminoacyl-tRNA synthetases). tRNAs cope with the degeneracy of the genetic code in two manners: having more than one tRNA (with a specific anti-codon) for a particular amino acid; and 'wobble' base-pairing, i.e. permitting non-standard base-pairing at the 3rd anti-codon position. The record is from RNAcentral. Lineage: Bacteria; Pseudomonadati; Pseudomonadota; Alphaproteobacteria; Parvularculales; Parvularculaceae.